RNAcentral lists this non-coding RNA (24 nucleotides) under Arabidopsis thaliana (thale cress). Lineage: Eukaryota; Viridiplantae; Streptophyta; Magnoliopsida; Brassicales; Brassicaceae. The record is from RNAcentral.
AUAUGGUGGAUGUAUUUGAAUCAU